UGGGGAUAUAGCUCAGUGGUAGAGCACUUGCCUAGCAUGCACAGGGCCCUGAGUUUAAUUCCCAGUACUAA
Molecule: transfer RNA, 71 nt
Filed under: Marmota monax (woodchuck)
Lineage: Eukaryota; Metazoa; Chordata; Mammalia; Rodentia; Sciuridae
Description: tRNA.Ala
Rfam family: tRNA (bases 7-67)
About the family: Transfer RNA (tRNA) molecules are approximately 80 nucleotides in length. Their secondary structure includes four short double-helical elements and three loops (D, anti-codon, and T loops).
Source: RNAcentral